GACGAACGCUGGCGGCGUGCUUAACACAUGCAAGUCGAGCGGAAAGGCCUCCUUCGGGGGGUACUCGAGCGGCGAACGGGUGAGUAACACGUGAGUAAUCUGCCCUCUACUCUGGGAUAACUGCCUGAAAGGGUGGCUAAUACUGGAUGUGACCGACUGCUGCAUGGUGUGUUGGUGGAAAGCUUUUGUGGUGGGGGAUGUGCUCGCGGCCUAUCAGCUUGUUGGUGGGGUAAUGGCCUACCAAGGCUUUGACGGGUAGCCGGCCUGAGAGGGUGACCGGCCACACUGGGACUGAGACACGGCCCAGACUCCUACGGGAGGCAGCAGUGGGGAAUAUUGGACAAUGGGCGGAAGCCUGAUCCAGCAACGCCGCGUGAGGGAUGACGGCCUUCGGGUUGUAAACCUCUUUCAGCACAGACGAAGCGCCUUUUGGGGUGGUGACGGUAUGUGCAGAAGAAGCACCGGCCAACUACGUGCCAGCCGCCGCAGUAAAAC
This 495-nucleotide ribosomal RNA is filed under the name uncultured bacterium. RNAcentral describes it as "bacterial SSU rRNA". It matches the Rfam family "Bacterial small subunit ribosomal RNA", at positions 28 to 526 of the family's 1533-position model. The record is from RNAcentral.